This 327-nucleotide ribosomal RNA is filed under the name uncultured eukaryote. Its description in RNAcentral is "partial 18S ribosomal RNA". It matches the Rfam family "Eukaryotic small subunit ribosomal RNA", at positions 1470 to 1796 of the family's 1831-position model. The record is from RNAcentral.
CCCCUAGAUGUUCUGGGCCGCACGCGCGCUACACUGAACAGUUCAACAAGUCUUAACCUUGGCCGAUAGGUCUGGGUAAUCUUUGAACGCUGUUCGUGAUUGGGAUAGACCUUUGCAAUUAUGGGUCUUCAACGAGGAAUUCCCAGUAAGCGCAAGUCACAAGCUUGCGUUGAUUACGUCCCUGCCCUUUGUACACACCGCCCGUCGCUACUACCGAUUGAACGUUUUAGUGAGGUAUUUGGACUGGACCUUCGGAGGUUCGCGCCUCCGUUGCUGUUCGGGAAGACUCCCAAACUUGAGCGUUUAGAGGAAGUAAAAGUCGUANCA